CUGGCGGCGUGCCUAACACAUGCAAGUCGAACGGAGCUGAGGAGCUUGCUCCUUAGCUUAGUGGCGGACGGGUGAGUAACGCGUGAGUAACCUGCCUCUGAGAGGGGAAUAACGUUCUGAAAAGAACGCUAAUACCGCAUAACGUAUUGAAGCCGCAUGACUUUGAUACCAAAGAUUUUAUCGCUCGGAGAUGGACUCGCGUCCGAUUAGCUUGUUGGUGAGGUAACGGCUCACCAAGGCGACGAUCGGUAGCCGGACUGAGAGGUUGAUCGGCCACAUUGGGACUGAGACACGGCCCAGACUCCUACGGGAGGCAGCAGUGGGGGAUAUUGCACAAUGGGCGCAAGCCCUGAUGCAGCAACGCCGCGUGCGGGAAGACGGCCUUCGGGUUGUAAACCGCUGUCCUUGGGGAAGAAACAAAUGACGGUACCCAAGAAGGAAGCCACGGCUAACUACGUGCCAGCCGCCGC
This 470-nucleotide ribosomal RNA is filed under the name uncultured bacterium. RNAcentral describes it as "bacterial SSU rRNA". It matches the Rfam family "Bacterial small subunit ribosomal RNA", at positions 36 to 518 of the family's 1533-position model. The record is from RNAcentral.